Molecule: ribosomal RNA, 274 nt
Filed under: uncultured bacterium
Lineage: Bacteria
Description: partial 16S ribosomal RNA
Rfam family: Archaeal small subunit ribosomal RNA
Source: RNAcentral
AAACCAGCACCUCAAGUGGUCAGGAUGAUUAUUGGGCCUAAAGCAUCCGUAGCCUGUUAUGUAAGUUUCCGGUUAAAUCCACUAGCUCAACUAGUGGGCUGCCGAAAAUACUGUAGAACUAGGGAGUGGGAGAGGUAGACGGUAUUCGGUAGGAAGGGGUAAAAUCCUUUGAUCUAUUGAGGACCACCUGUGGCGAAGGCGGUCUACCAGAACACGUUCGACGGUGAGGGAUGAAAGCUGGGGGAGCAAACCGGAUUAGAAACCCGAGUAGUCC